AGUCGUAACAGGUUUCCGUAGGUGAACCUGCGGAAGGAUCAUUAAUGAAAUUCAAGGCCGCUCUUUUUAGAGGGUCGACCAAUUUUCAUCAUACACAGUGCACAAACAUUCUUUACACCUUUUUUACACUCAGAGUGUUUUAUAAUAAUGUAUACUUUCUCUUAAAUGAGUAUUUAAUAAAAAAAACUUUCAGCAACGGAUCNCUUGGCUCUCGCAUCGAUGAAGAACGCAGCGAAAUGCGAUACGUAAUGNGAAUUGCAGAAUUCAGUGAAUCAUCGAAUCUUUGAACGCACCUUGCACUCUUUGGUAUUCCGAAGAGUAUAUCUGUUUGAGUGUCAUGAAAUUCUCAACCCACUCGUCUUGAAAUGAGACGGUGAUGGGCUUGGAUUAUGGCUGCUUGUUGGCUUUGACUAGUCGGCUCGGCUGAAAGAUACGAGCAAUCUCAAAUUGAAAGAGGAAGUGAUCUGUCUCGGCGUAAUAAUUCAUCUCGUUGAGAUAAUUUACUUUCUUUCAAAUUGAAAUGCUUCUAAUGUAAUAGUAAAUUUAGCUUUAGACCUCAAAUCAGAUAGGACUACCCGCUGAACUUAANCAUAUCAAUAAGCGGANGAAAAGAAACUAACAAGGAUUCCCCCAGUAACGGCGAGUGAAGUGGGAAAAGCUCAACUUUAAAAUCUGGCAGCUUCNCUGUCCGA
This 692-nucleotide ribosomal RNA is filed under the name uncultured Cyphobasidiales. Its description in RNAcentral is "eukaryotic LSU rRNA". The stretch from base 185 to 338 matches the Rfam family "5.8S ribosomal RNA". The record is from RNAcentral. Lineage: Eukaryota; Fungi; Basidiomycota; Cystobasidiomycetes; Cyphobasidiales.